RNAcentral lists this ribosomal RNA (686 nucleotides) under uncultured bacterium. RNAcentral describes it as "bacterial SSU rRNA". It matches the Rfam family "Bacterial small subunit ribosomal RNA", at positions 1 to 661 of the family's 1533-position model. The record is from RNAcentral.
AGGAGUUUGAUCCUGGGCUCAGAACGAACGCUGGCGGCGUGCCUAACACAUGCAAGUCGAACGAGAAAGCGGGCUUCGGCCCGUGAGUACAGUGGCAGACGGGUGAGUAACACGUGGGUAACCUGCCCGGAGGUGGGGGAUAACCCUUCGAAAGGAGGGCUAAUACCGCAUGACAUCUCGAGGACCUCGGUUCUCGAGCUCAAAGCUUGCCUCUACUCGUAAGCAAGCGCCACCGGAGGGACCCGCGUCCCAUUAGCUUGUUGGUGAGGUAACGGCUCACCAAGGCGACGAUGGGUAGCCGGCCUGAGAGGGUGAUCGGCCACACUGGAACUGAGACACGGUCCAGACUCCUACGGGAGGCAGCAGUGAGGAAUUUUGCGCAAUGGGCGAAAGCCUGACGCAGCGACGCCGCGUGGAGGACGAAGGCCUUCGGGUCGUAAACUCCUGUCGAGCGGGACGAAUCCCGGACGGAUGAAUAAGCCGUCCGGUUGACGGUACCGCUGGAGGAAGCCCCGGCUAACUCCGUGCCAGCAGCCGCGGUAAUACGGAGGGGGCCAGCGUUGUUCGGAAUUAUUGGGCGUAAAGGGCGCGUUAGGCCGCUAUGCAAGUCGGAGGUGAAAUUCCCUCGGGCUCAACGAAGGAACUGCCCCCGAAACCUGCCAUGGCUUGAGUCCCGGGAUAGGGUA